RNAcentral lists this ribosomal RNA (406 nucleotides) under uncultured bacterium. RNAcentral describes it as "partial 16S ribosomal RNA". It matches the Rfam family "Bacterial small subunit ribosomal RNA", at positions 29 to 526 of the family's 1533-position model. The record is from RNAcentral.
AUUGAACGCUGGCGGCAGGCCUAACACAUGCAAGUCGAACGAGUGGCGGACGGGUGAGUAAUGUCUGGGAAACUGCCUGAUGGAGGGGGAUAACCACUGGAAACGGUCGCUAAUACCGCAUACCAUCGGAUGUGCCCAGAUGGGAUUAGCUGGUCGGUGGGGUAAAGGCUCACCUAGGCGACGAUCCCUAGCUGGUCCGAGAGAAUGACCGGCCACUCUGGAACGGAACAACGCCCAAGACUCCAAGGGAGGGCGGCAGGGGGGAAUAUUGGACAAGGGGGGCAAGCCUGAGGCAGCCAGGCCGGGGAUAUGAAGAAGGCCUUCGGGUGGUAAAGUACGUUAAGCGGGGAGGCGUUACCCGCAGAGGAAGCACCGGCUAACUACGUGCCAGCCGCCGCGGUAAUAC